AGUGAACGCUGGCGGUAGGCCUAACACAUGCAAGUCGAACGGCAGCACAGUAAGAGCUUGCUCUUACGGGUGGCGAGUGGCGGACGGGUGAGGAAUACAUCGGAAUCUACUUUUUCGUGGGGGAUAACGUAGGGAAACUUACGCUAAUACCGCAUACGACCUACGGGUGAAAGCAGGGGAUCUUCGGACCUUGCGCGAUUGAAUGAGCCGAUGUCGGAUUAGCUAGUUGGCGGGGUAAAGGCCCACCAAGGCGACGAUCCGAAGCUGGUCUGAGAGGAUGAUCAGCCACACUGGAACUGAGACACGGUCCAGACUCCUACGGGAGGCAGCAGUGGGGAAUAUUGGACAAUGGGCGCAAGCCUGAUCCAGCCAUACCGCGUGUGUGAAGAAGGUCUUCGGGUUGUAAAGCCCUUUUGUUGGGAAAGAAAAGCAGUAGGUUAAUACCUCGCUGUUCUGACGUUACCAAAAGAAUAAGCACCGGCUAACUUCGUG
Molecule: ribosomal RNA, 492 nt
Filed under: uncultured bacterium
Lineage: Bacteria
Description: partial 16S ribosomal RNA
Rfam family: Bacterial small subunit ribosomal RNA
Source: RNAcentral